UGUUAGCGGCGGACGGGUGAGUAACACGUGGGUAACCUACCUAUAAGACUGGGAUAACUCCGGGAAACCGGGGCUAAUACCGGAUAAUAUUUUGAACCGCAUGGUUCGAUAGUGAAAGACGGUUUCGGCUGUCACUUAUAGAUGGACCCGCGCCGUAUUAGCUAGUUGGUAAGGUAACGGCUUACCAAGGCGACGAUACGUAGCCGACCUGAGAGGGUGAUCGGCCACACUGGAACUGAGACACGGUCCAGACUCCUACGGGAGGCAGCAGCA
Molecule: ribosomal RNA, 273 nt
Filed under: uncultured Staphylococcus sp.
Lineage: Bacteria; Bacillati; Bacillota; Bacilli; Caryophanales; Staphylococcaceae
Description: partial 16S ribosomal RNA
Rfam family: Bacterial small subunit ribosomal RNA
Source: RNAcentral